This 3911-nucleotide long non-coding RNA is filed under the name Lupinus angustifolius (narrow-leaved blue lupine). Its description in RNAcentral is "long non-coding RNA (LANG_LNC000434)". Lineage: Eukaryota; Viridiplantae; Streptophyta; Magnoliopsida; Fabales; Fabaceae. The record is from RNAcentral.
UUCAUUUCCCAAGUCAACAAUAAUAUUACCAAGAGAGAAACGUAAAGGGGCAUUUGAGUUCCCUUGUUUACUUUUUCUCAUUCGUGUGCUUAGUUUCUCUCCUAUCUUGGAAGACUUUUCUCCAUCCAACCUGUGAUUAGAUAGCUCUCCUUCCUUUGUAAAAUUAUUUCCACUUGUUGUUCCUAUUUCUUUUGCCUUAUCCCCACUUAUUCUCAUUUCUAGUUCUGUGAACUCGGGUAAGGGAAUAAACGUCAAGGUUGGGUCACCGUGAAACUUCCUCAAUAGUGAGACAUGAAAGACCGGAUGGAUGCGAGCUGUCGGCGUAAGGAGAGCUUGUAAGCCACUGUUCCGAUGUAGCGGUUCACACGAAAAGGACCAAAAUAGCGAGGUCCUAAUUUGUGGCAAGGCCGACGAGCAACCGUCACCUGUCUAUAAGGUUGCAGUUUGAGGAGGACCCAUUCAUUGACUUCGAAGGUAAUGUCUUUUCUCCCCGCUUGUGUUUGUGCUCUCAUUCUCUGUUGAGCUCGCAAGAGAUUCUAUUUUAUGGUAGCUAAUAGUGUUGUUCUUGUUUGUAAUAUAUCAGCAACCGGAUCAGAGAUGUUAGCUCGUGCCAAAAAAGUAGUCACUGUGGGAGGUUGUCGUCCAUAAAGAGCCUCAAAUGGAGAAAACCCAGUGGAUGAAUGUUUGGACAUGUUGUACCAGUACUCCACUAGUGAGAGGUGUCGAAACCAUUUAUUCGGUUGAGAACCUGUAAAGCACCGAAGGUAUGUUUGGAGACAUCGAUUAACCACUUCGGUUUGGUCGUCAGAUUGAGGGUGGUAGGCCGAACUGAAACACAAUGUGGUUCUCAAUAGUCGAAAAAAUUCCUUCCAAAAGGAACUCAAAAAGAUUUUGUCCCUAUCCGACACAAUGGACCGUGGAACUCCAUGAAGUCGCACCACUUCUUGUAGAAAACGAUUGGCUAAAACCUCUGCUGUGAAUUUAGAAGGAAGUCCAAUAAAGUGUGCAUAUUUGGAGAGCCGAUCCACAACCACCCAUAUAAUCGUAUGGCCUUGAGAUGGGGGUAAGUGAGUUAUGAAGUCCAUUGAAAUAUCCUCUCAAACCUUCUCCGGUGUGAUGAGAGGUUGCAAUAACCCUUGUUGUUUUGAUGGCGUGUAUUUAUUGUAUUGACAGGUUAUACAAUGCUUGAUGAAGUGCUUAGUGUCCUUGUAUAAGCCAAGCCAGUAGCAAGCUGCUGCAAUACGGGCAAGAGUGGGUUUCAGUCCUGAAUGGCCAGCAGCGGGUGUUGAAUGAAAUUAUGUGAUAAGCGCCAUGCGGAUUUCUUGGAAGUCAGGUAUGAAAAUCCUUUGCCCAUAAAAUAACAUCCCAUUUGAGAAGUGAAAUUUUUGUUGCAUGUUGUUGUCUGUCUCGUAGUUUUUGAUGAGUUGCAGGUCUGCCUCUGUUUGAUAAUAACUUUCAAGUUGUUCCAGAAGAUUAGGAAUGGGGGAGGAUAGAGAAAUCAACAUUGCCUUGUCUUCAUCAUGUCGCCUAGACAAGGCAUCUGCCACUCUAUUAGAGGUACCAGUACGAUACUUAAUUUCAAAUUGAAACCCAAUUAGUUUAGUGGCCCAUUUCUGUUGUUCUGGUGUAUGCAACCCUUGUGAUGUUAAAUGCUUUAGACUUUGUUGAUCUGUAAAUAUUCUGAAAUGCCGACUUAUUAAAUAUUGACGCCAUUUCUUGACUGCUUUUGUGACAGCGAACAUUUCCCUCACGUAUGCGGAGGCAUGUUGCAUGCGUCCAGACAUUUUCUUGCUGAAGAAGGAAAUGGGAUGACCAUUCUGAGAAAGGACUGCACCAAUGGCCACUGCUGAUGCAUCAGUUUCAACAUCAAAGGUGGAGGAGAAAUCCGACAGUUUCAAAACUGGAGUGUUUAUCAUUGCUUUGUUUAGAUCUGUAAAGGCUGAAUUGGUCGCUGUAUUCCAAGUGUAAUUAUGUUGUUUAAGUAGAUAGGUGAGAGGAGCGGUGAGAGAGGCGUAAUUUUUAACAAAUUUUCUAUAAAAUCCGGUGAGCCCCAAGAAACCUCUGAGCGCCGUGAGAGAACGAGGUCGUAGCCAAUCCACCAUGGCCUGAAUUUUAUCUGGAUCCGGCUGUACCCCUUCAGCUGAUAUAAUAUGCCCCAGAUAACUAACAGACGCAACUCCAAAAUAACACUUUGACAAUUUUGCAUAAAAUUGAUUAGCUGCUAAUAGGUUCAUCACAAUUCUUAAAUGAAGCAAAUGAUCAUCCAAAGUUGAACUAUAUAUAAGAAUAUCAUCAAAAAACACCAGCACAAACCUACGAAGGUGAGGCCCGAAUAAGUCAUUCAUGGCUACUUGGAACGUUGAGGGUGCAUUGGUGAGGCCAAAAGGCAUAACCAGGAAUUCAUAGUGCCCAUCGAAAGUGCGAAAAGCCGUCUUGUGGGUAUCCUUCGGGUGGACCCGAAUUUGGUGAUAUCCGGAACGUAGGUCAAUUUUUGAAAAAACUGUUGCGCCUCCCAACUCGUCUAGUAAUUCAUCAAUAGUAGGUAUUGGAAACCGGUCAGGUAUAGUAAUAGCAUUAAGUGUCCGGUAGUCUACACAGAAUCUCCAAUUUCCAUCUUUUUUUCUUACCAAUAGUAUUGGGGAGGAAAAGGGGCUAGUGCUAGGGAUCACAAUUCCAGAUUUUAACAUCUCUUGCAACAUGGUAGUCAUAGUGUCUUUAUGCGAAUGUGGGUAUAUGUAGGGUCUUGUAUUGACAGGGGUAGAAUUUGGAAGUAAGGGAAUGUGGUGAUCAUGUGGUCUAAUUGGGGGUAGGUCUGUUGGGGUUUGAAAAAUAGAUUGGAAUUCGUCAAGGAUAGGUUGGAUUUGGGGAAGAGGGUUGGUUGUUGGGUUAUUGGAUUUCAGUGUCUGUAUGUUAUUUGUGUGCACAAUAGAUAUAGCAUGAAAAGAUGCAAUAUUAUCUGUUUGUAGUAAUCUAGUAAGUUGGUGGAAGGUCGAGUAUUGCAAGUUAUAGGAUGUUUCACCAGUAAGGGUAAUCUGUGUUUCCCCCACAUUAAAUUGCAUUUAUGGAACUGAGAAAUCAGAGUCGAUAGGCCCUAGAGUGCGUAGCCAUUCAAUUCCCAAGACCACGUCAGCUCCUUUGAUUGGCAACAAAUAGAAUGGAAUGCGAAAUUCCUGGUUUUGGAGCAUGAUAGGUGUGCUGCCACAAAGGCCACUAUAGUAAAUGUGAGCCCCAUUACCAACCAUUACUGGGAAUUGUGGGGUUGGUGUGAUAAUGAGAUUGAUGUAAUGAGCUAGUCGAGGUUGUAAAAUAUUAUGGGAGCUACCAGUAUCUACCAAGACUAUGACAUAGUGGCCAUGAACUGAACCAGAGAAUUUAAGUGUCUUAGGCGAAAUUUGACCUCCUAAAGCCUGGUUAGAUAUAUGAAAGUGGAUGAGAUCUGCUAAGCCUGGAUCUGUGUUGUGAGGCUCUAGUUCUUCGGUAGAAGAAACAAGAUUGUGUAUUUCAGCUUCAUUUAAUGGUUCAUCAUCUAGCAACAAGCGAAACUUCUUAGGUUGACAUUUAUGUCCUGGAUGAAACUUUUCAUCACAGUUGUAACAAAGCCCUUGGGCUCGCCUUUCCUGCAAUUAUGUAGUGGAUUGGCGCCGGACAGGGAUAGAAAGUGCAACUGGGUUUGUGGGUGGAGUUAAGGAGAAAUUUGGGGUUUGUUUAGGAAUGCUAGUCUGGCCAGUGUAUGGAAAAAAACGGGAAGGACGUGGUGUUGAUUUAGUGUUAUCUCUCACCUUUGCUUCCACUAAUUUAGCUAACCCUAAGGCUUCUAAAAUGGAUAUAGGGUGUAAGAUAGCUAAUUCUCGCUAGAUUUCUGGUAAAAGUCCAGAAAUAAAACAAUUAAGAAUUACUUCUUGAGACAAUCC